AACAAGGAUUCCCCCAGUAACGGCGAGUGAAGCGGGAAUAGCUCAAAUUUGAAAUCUCCGACGCUUGCGUCGGCGAGUUGUAGUUGCGAGAAGCACUUUCUCGGCGGAUCGGGCGCGCCUAAGUUGCUUGGAACAGUACGUCGCAGAGGGUGACAACCCCGUCUGUGGCGCGGCCGGCCGCUCACGAUGUGCUUUCGAAGAGUCGGGUUGUUUGGGAAUGCAGCCCAAAAAGGGUGGUAAACUCCAUCUAAAGCUAAAUAUUGACGUGAGACCGAUAGCGAACAAGUACCGUGAGGGAAAGAUGAAAAGAACUUUGAAAAGAGAGUUAAAAAGUACGUGAAACCGUUGGAAGGGAAACGAAUGGACUCAGCAAUGCGCCGUUUUGAGAUUCAGCCGGCCGGCCGGAUCGGCUCGGGGUUUGCGGAUCCGAACGGACCGCGGUCUCGGGCUCGUUCCUCCCGGCCGUCGCACUUCUCUUGGGCGCACGUCAACGUCGGUUGGGACCGGGUCUAAAAGGUUCCGGGAAGGUAGGUGCGCCAGCCCGGUUCUCUCGCGGCUCGGGCCCGACCGAGGCGGUGGCAGCGCAUGCCUCUUUUGGCUAGGGUCCCGUCCGUCCUGCCGGUCGUCGACCGCGGUGGACUGCUUGCAGUGCUCCGCGACCGCUGCCGGUCGUUCGGGUGGUGACGUCGUAAGAUGCGCUUAAGAUGUUGGCGGUCAUAUGGGUCC
Molecule: ribosomal RNA, 726 nt
Filed under: Balanophyllia sp. MVK-72
Lineage: Eukaryota; Metazoa; Cnidaria; Anthozoa; Scleractinia; Dendrophylliidae
Description: eukaryotic LSU rRNA
Rfam family: Eukaryotic large subunit ribosomal RNA
Source: RNAcentral